This 599-nucleotide ribosomal RNA is filed under the name uncultured bacterium. RNAcentral's name for it is "bacterial SSU rRNA". It matches the Rfam family "Bacterial small subunit ribosomal RNA", at positions 157 to 755 of the family's 1533-position model. The record is from RNAcentral.
ACCGAAUUAACCCUCCAUAACAUGACGACUGGGCAUCCAGAUGUCAUUAAAACUGCGGUGGUAAAAGAUGGGCAUGCGUUUGAUUAGUUAGUUGGCAGUGUAACGGACUACCAAGACGAUGAUCAAUAGGGGACCUGAGAGGGUGAUCCCCCACACUGGCACUGAGAUACGGGCCAGACUCCUACGGGAGGCAGCAGUAGGGAAUAUUGGACAAUGGGUGAGAGCCUGAUCCAGCCAUGCCGCGUGCAGGAAGAAGGCGUUAUGCGUUGUAAACUGCUUUUGCCAGGGGAUAAAACGACUCUGCGGAGUUAAUUGAAGGUACCUGGUGAAUAAGCCACGGCUAACUACGUGCCAGCAGCCGCGGUAAUACGUAGGUGGCAAGCGUUGUCCGGAUUUAUUGGGUUUAAAGGGUGCGUAGGCGGCCCCGUAAGUCAGUGCUGAAAUAUCCCGGCUUAACCGGGAGGGUGGCAUUGAUACUGCAGGGCUUGAGUACAGAUGAAGUAGGCGGAAUUGACGGUGUAGCGGUGAAAUGCAUAGAUAUCGUCAAGAACACCGAUAGCGAAGGCAGCUUACUAAGCUGUAACUGACGCUGAGGCACG